RNAcentral lists this transfer RNA (71 nucleotides) under Loxodonta africana (African savanna elephant). It matches the Rfam family "tRNA". From Rfam's summary of the family: Transfer RNA (tRNA) molecules are approximately 80 nucleotides in length. Their secondary structure includes four short double-helical elements and three loops (D, anti-codon, and T loops). The record is from Rfam by way of RNAcentral. Lineage: Eukaryota; Metazoa; Chordata; Mammalia; Proboscidea; Elephantidae.
GAAGUGGUAGCUCAGUGGUAGAACCCUCGCUUUCCAUGCAAGAGACUCAGGAUCGAUUCUUGGCCAAUGCA